GACGAACGCUGGCGGCGUGCCUAAUACAUGCAAGUUGAGCGAUGAAGAUUGGUGCUUGCACCAAUUUGAAGAGCAGCGAACGGGUGAGUAACGCGUGGGGAAUCUGCGUUUGAGCGGGGGACAACAUUUGGAAACGAAUGCUAAUACCGCAUAACAACUUUAAACAUAAGUUUUAAGUUUGAAAGAUGCAAUUGCAUCACUCAAAGAUGAUCCCGCGUUGUAUUAGCUAGUUGGUGAGGUAAAGGCUCACCAAGGCGAUGAUACAUAGCCGACCUGAGAGGGUGAUCGGCCACAUUGGGACUGAGACACGGCCCAAACUCCUACGGGAGGCAGCAGUAGGGAAUCUUCGGCAAUGGACGAAAGUCUGACCGAGCAACGCCGCGUGAGUGAAGAAGGUUUUCGGAUCGUAAAACUCUGUUGGUAGAGAAGAACGUUGGUGAGAGUGGAAAGCUCAUCAAGUGACGGUAACUACCCAGAAAGGGACGGCUAACUACGUG
This 497-nucleotide ribosomal RNA is filed under the name uncultured bacterium. Its description in RNAcentral is "partial 16S ribosomal RNA". It matches the Rfam family "Bacterial small subunit ribosomal RNA", at positions 28 to 507 of the family's 1533-position model. The record is from RNAcentral.